This 749-nucleotide ribosomal RNA is filed under the name uncultured Parvimonas sp. RNAcentral describes it as "bacterial SSU rRNA". It matches the Rfam family "Bacterial small subunit ribosomal RNA", at positions 28 to 775 of the family's 1533-position model. Lineage: Bacteria; Bacillati; Bacillota; Tissierellia; Tissierellales; Peptoniphilaceae. The record is from RNAcentral.
GACGAACGCUGGCGGCGUGCCUAAUACAUGCAAGUAGAACGCACAGGAUGCACCGUAGUUUACUACACCGCAUUCUGUGAGUUGCGAACGGGUGAGUAACGCGUAGGUAACCUGCCCGGUAGCGGGGGAUAACUAUUGGAAACGAUAGCUAAUACCGCAUAAGAACAUUUACUGCAUGGUAGAUGUUUAAAAGGUGCAAGAGCAUCACUACCAGAUGGACCUGCGUUGUAUUAACUGGUUGGUGAGGUAACGGCUCACCAAGGUGACGAUCAGUAGCCGACCUGAGAGGGUGAUCGGCCACAUUGGAACUGAGACACGGUCCAAACUUCUACGGAAGGCAGCAGUAGGGAAUCUUGCACAAUGGGCGAAAGCCUGAUGCAGCAACGCCGCGUGAAGGAUGAAGGCCUUCGGGUUGUAAACUUCUGUUCUAAGGGAAGAAAGAAAUGACGGUACCUUAGGAGCAAGCCCCGGCUAACUACGUGCCAGCAGCCGCGGUAAUACGUAGGGGGCAAGCGUUAUCCGGAAUUAUUGGGCGUAAAGAGUGCGUAGGUGGUUACCUAAGCGCAAGGUUUAAAUUAGAGGCUCAACCUCUACAUGCCUUGCGAACUGGGCUACUUGAGUGCAGGAGGGGAAAGCGGAAUUCCUAGUGUAGCGGUGAAAUGCGUAGAUAUUAGGAGGAACACCGGCGGCGAAGGCGGCUUUCUGGACUGUAACUGACACUGAGGCACGAAAGCGUGGGUAGCAACAGG